Molecule: ribosomal RNA, 495 nt
Filed under: uncultured bacterium
Lineage: Bacteria
Description: bacterial SSU rRNA
Rfam family: Bacterial small subunit ribosomal RNA
Source: RNAcentral
AGGACGAACGCUGGCGGCGUGCUUAACACAUGCAAGUGGAGCGACGAACCGGGGCUUGCCCCGGGGCAGAGCCGCGAACGGGUGAGUAACACGUGGGUAACCUGCCUCAAUGAUUGGGACAACCCGGGGAAACUCGGGCUAAUACCAAAUGUGUUCACUCCUUCCAAGGGGAGUGAGGAAAGGAAGCUUCGGCCUCCGCAUUGAGAUGGGCCCGCGGCCCAUUAGCUUGUUGGUGAGGUAACGGCUCACCAAGGCUUCGAUGGGUAGCUGGUCUGAGAGGACGAUCAGCCACACUGGGACUGAGACACGGCCCAGACUCCUACGGGAGGCAGCAGUGGGGAAUCUUGCACAAUGCGCGAAAGCGUGAUGCAGCAACGCCGCGUGGGGGAAGACGGCCUUCGGGUUGUAAACCCCUUUCAGUUGGGACGAAGCUUCGUCGGUGAAUAGCCGGUUGGAGUGACGGUACCUUCAGAAGAAGCCCCGGCUAACUACGUG